UACAGGGGGGGCAAGCGUUGUUCGGAAUUACUGGGCGUAAAGGGUGCGCAGGCGGUCCUGCAAGUCAGGCGUGAAAUCCCCGGGCUUAACCUGGGAAUGGCACUUGAAACUACGGGACUGGAGUAUGGCAGAGGGAGGUGGAAUUCCACGUGUAGCGGUGAAAUGCGUAGAGAUGUGGAGGAACACCGAUGGCGAAGGCAGCCUCCUGGGCCAAUACUGACGCUCAUGCACGAAAGCGUGGGGAGCAAACAGG
Molecule: ribosomal RNA, 253 nt
Filed under: uncultured bacterium
Lineage: Bacteria
Description: partial 16S ribosomal RNA
Rfam family: Bacterial small subunit ribosomal RNA
Source: RNAcentral